UUAAGUGCCGACGAUUACAACUACGCACUGGCUGCCUAAGGGCGCCACAUUCUCCUAGAGUUCGCCCGCCGACUCAUGUGAGAAUGUCAAAUCAGACGGGCAAACCUGUUGAUCCUGCCCCGGGGUCAGCGGGGAACACAGGGGCAAGGGAUAUAUGAAGCCUGUCUGCGGGCGGCAUGUAUCCGACAUGAGUACACAGACUAAGCAUGUAGCCGCCUUUGGUUGAAGGCCUUCGGACGGGGGUUCGAUUCCCCCC
RNAcentral lists this transfer-messenger RNA (256 nucleotides) under Thermodesulfobacteriota bacterium. RNAcentral's name for it is "partial transfer-messenger RNA". It matches the Rfam family "transfer-messenger RNA", at positions 87 to 374 of the family's 374-position model. Rfam says of the family: Bacterial tmRNA, also known as 10Sa RNA or SsrA, is named for its dual tRNA and mRNA-like properties. Lineage: Bacteria; Pseudomonadati; Thermodesulfobacteriota. The record is from RNAcentral.